GACGAACGCUGGCGGCGUGCUUAACACAUGCAAGUCGAACGGAAAGGCCCUGCUUUUGUGGGGUGCUCGAGUGGCGAACGGGUGAGUAACACGUGAGUAACCUGCCCUUGACUUUGGGAUAACUUCAGGAAACUGGGGCUAAUACCGGAUAGGAUCUCCUGCUGCAUGGUGUGGGUUGGAAAGUUUCGGCGGUUGGGGAUGGACUCGCGGCUUAUCAGCUUGUUGGUGGGGUAGUGGCUUACCAAGGCUUUGACGGGUAGCCGGCCUGAGAGGGUGACCGGCCACAUUGGGACUGAGAUACGGCCCAGACUCCUACGGGAGGCAGCAGUGGGGAAUAUUGCACAAUGGGCGGAAGCCUGAUGCAGCAGCGCCGCGUGCGGGAUGACGGCCUUCGGGUUGUAAACCGCUUUCGCCUGUGACGAAGCGUGAGUGACGGUAAUGGGUAAAGAAGCACCGGCUAACUACGUG
RNAcentral lists this ribosomal RNA (468 nucleotides) under uncultured bacterium. RNAcentral describes it as "partial 16S ribosomal RNA". It matches the Rfam family "Bacterial small subunit ribosomal RNA", at positions 28 to 507 of the family's 1533-position model. The record is from RNAcentral.